Molecule: long non-coding RNA, 727 nt
Filed under: Brachypodium distachyon (stiff brome)
Lineage: Eukaryota; Viridiplantae; Streptophyta; Magnoliopsida; Poales; Poaceae
Description: long non-coding RNA (BDIS_LNC004623)
Source: RNAcentral
AGGACAAGGUCUCCGUUCUCGAGCCCCCGGGGACGGACUCGCCUGUCGUGAUAACGACGGAGUCCCUGCUUGUAACAUCCGAAUUUUUCUAAUUUGGAUGUUAUCACCUUUUUCAUGUCACAUGCAUAUCAUUUUGACCAUAUUUGAGUUUGGAGAUGAUCUUACAAUUUAAUUGGGAGUUUAUUUGGACCUUAAGAGUGAUUAUUUGCAUUUGUUGGAAUUUAUUUGAGCUGCAUAUGCAUUAAAAAUAUUUUUAUAAAUUACAUUCCAUGAGGAAACUAGUUUUCCUAGCUUCCAAACAGGUAUUUGGAAUUUCAGGAAUUUUCUGGAAUUUUUCCGAUGCCAUUUGGUAUUUUAUUUGCCUUAUUUGAUUUUCUAGCGAUUUAGAGACCCAGAAAAAGCUAUUUCUUUAUUUGUUUUUAUUUUAUUGCGCGGAGUACGUUUUCUCUUCAUCGAGGCGUAUUUCCGUGAAACCCGUUUUCACUUAAGUGUACCGAAGGGGUAUCUUUUAAUCUCAUGCAUCCAUUUCCCAUCCAACGGCCAUCCUUCCUUUUUCCUUUUCCUUUUCUUUUUUUUUCUUUUCUCCUUUCUUCCUUCUUCUUCCUCACGUAAGCACAGGCACAGCCUGUUCUGGCUGCGUCCAUGGCCAAGCCCGGCGCGGCCGCCGCCGCUGCUCGCCUGUCCCGCCCCGCCGCCCUGGCUCCGCCACUUGCCGCCGCAACCCCGU